CAAUAGCGUAUAUUAAAGUUGUUGCAGUUAAAAAGCUCGUAGUUGAAUUUCUGUCAGGAGUGACCGGGCCUUUGGAUGAACUUCCAUUGUUUUUUGCUCUGUUUUUCAUCUCUAGACAUCCUGAAAUAUUUUUUAAAAAUAUUUCUCUUUUACUGUUAGCAAAAUAGAGUGUUCCAAGCAAAGCGUAGUUUUGAAUACAUUAGAAUGGAAUAAUAAGAUAGGACUUUGGUGCUAUUUUGUUGGUUUGCACACCAAGGUAAUGAUUAAUAGGGACAGUUGGGGGUAUUCGUAUUUAAUUGUCAGAGGUGAAAUUCUUGGAUUUAUGAAAGACGAACUACUGCGAAAGCAUUUACCAAGGAUGUUUUCAUUAA
RNAcentral lists this ribosomal RNA (371 nucleotides) under uncultured eukaryote. Its description in RNAcentral is "partial 18S ribosomal RNA". It matches the Rfam family "Eukaryotic small subunit ribosomal RNA", at positions 592 to 976 of the family's 1831-position model. The record is from RNAcentral.